UCGAGGAUCUUCGGCAAUGGGCGCAAGCCUGACCGAGCGACGCCGCGUGCGGGAUGAAGGCUUUCGGGUUGUAAACCGCUGUCAGUGGGGAGGAAAUUUAGGUGGGUACUCUCAUCUAAUUGACCUAUCCGCAGAGGAAGCAAGGGCUAAGUUCGUGCCAGCAGCCGCGGUAAGACGAACCUUGCUAACGUUAUUCGGAAUUACUGGGCUUAAAGGGUGCGUAGGCGGCGGAGUAAGUCGGGUGUGAAAUCCCUCAGCUCAACUGAGGAAUUGCGCCCGAAACUACUUUGCUAGAGGAAGAUAGGGGUACGCGGAACUUAGGGUGGAGCGGUGAAAUGCGUUGAUAUCCUAAGGAACACCGGUGGCGUAAGCGGCGUACUGGGUCUUUUCUGACGCUGAGGCACGAAAGCUAGGGGAGCGAACGGGAUUAGAUACCCGGGUAGUCC
Molecule: ribosomal RNA, 446 nt
Filed under: uncultured bacterium
Lineage: Bacteria
Description: bacterial SSU rRNA
Rfam family: Bacterial small subunit ribosomal RNA
Source: RNAcentral